CACAGAAUUUAAGUGUUUUGGGGUCACCAUUAUGGACUUCCAUAAAAUGUUUGGACAGGGUAUGGUUCUCGAACUUUCUUUUUAUGUUGCAAAUGUGUUCUCUGAAACUGAUUUUCAGCAUACAUUUAGUUUGGCCAACGUAUUGAAGACCGCAAUCGCAUUCUAAUAAAUAUAUGACCUGCUUGGAGUGACAGGUGAUGCAGUCUUCAAUAUUGU
Pelobates cultripes (western spadefoot toad) is the source of this 216-nucleotide non-coding RNA. Lineage: Eukaryota; Metazoa; Chordata; Amphibia; Anura; Pelobatidae. The record is from the annotation of a GenBank genome assembly.